This 69-nucleotide transfer RNA is filed under the name Siphluriscus chinensis. Its description in RNAcentral is "tRNA-Ser". It matches the Rfam family "tRNA". From Rfam's summary of the family: Transfer RNA (tRNA) molecules are approximately 80 nucleotides in length. Their secondary structure includes four short double-helical elements and three loops (D, anti-codon, and T loops). The record is from RNAcentral. RNAcentral also lists the same sequence under 1 other name. Lineage: Eukaryota; Metazoa; Arthropoda; Insecta; Ephemeroptera; Siphlonuridae.
AAUCAAUUAACCACUGGGUGGUAAAUGUUUUGAAAGCAUAAGGCAGGAGCUCAAUUCUCCUAUUGAUUU